Apis florea (little honeybee) is the source of this 1407-nucleotide long non-coding RNA. The record is from RefSeq and is a predicted model, not a curated record. NCBI's taxonomy places the organism in Eukaryota, Metazoa, Arthropoda, Insecta, Hymenoptera, Apidae.
AUUUCCAAUCGUAGAGAGAGUUUAAAGAAGAAAAGAAAUUAGAAUUGGAGGAGGAUCGCGGAUGCCAAAUCGAGCAUUGCCAUUAAGAAAAUGGUUGAUUCGGGUUAAAUGGGAAAGGCUGCCCGUGCUUGCAAGCUUACCGACAGGCUCACGCACUCACACGAGCAUCGACCGAGUUUAAUAUAGACGCGCGUUCGUGCCGCGUUCUCUUCUUGCAUACCGAAAGUGGACCUCGACGACGAAACCAUCACGACUGUUGCUCAGUUCGCUACGGUGAAUACGUUUAUUUUUCUCUUGUCGAUUCCGUCAAGCCAGACGGUACGUCGGCACGAGAUUAAAACGGUGGUGGAUGGCUCGGUUCAACGUUAUUCUAGCGAUCAAAAUUCAACGACUGAAAGAAAAAUUUUUUUUUCGUCAUUUCGACUCGUGUCUUACGCGAUUCGUAUAACUGCGUUUAUAGAGAAUUGUCUAUGCAAACAAUUUUGAGGAGUGGGGGAUUCUUAAUAUAUUUCGGUAUAUCAAGAGUCGCAUAUGCUUCAGAAGAUGGAUGUUAAUUUAGGAAGACUUUGGUAUCUUGUUAUCUCUAAUGAUGGAAUAUCCCAUUCCUAAAUUGGAUUUCCAAUCAAUGAAAGAAAAAUCAAGAAUAGCGAGUUGAGAAAAUGGUCGCAUAAAUCCAUAAAUGCAAACUGAUAUUCGAUAAUAAAUGUCGUAAAAUUUUUGUCUAUCGAAAUUAAUUUUAAAUGGCUAAUACGAUUCGCAAAUAGGAGUUUAUCAGAAUAAAAAAUUUUUUUUGCAAAAAUUAUAAAUUAAAAAAAAUAUAUAAAAAUAAAAUGACAUAUAAGAUAUACAAAGGUUAGAAAAGUAUUUGCAUCUUGUAGGUGAACUUGUUAUUUCACAUGUACAUGUUACUACCACUGCGAUGUGAUAAAAGAAUAUUAUGAGUUUUAACAGGAAUUUCAAUGACACACUUUGAAAGUCUAUGCUAAGAACAUUUGGAAUACUAAUUGCCGGCUUGAAUGAAAAUUCCAUAGCUACGUGUACCAACGCGGCCACCUAUUUCCGUAAUUGCAAUGACUGUACUGCCACGGAUCCAGCUUGUAAAUCGUUGUGAUAACACGUAUACACUGUGCAUAUAACAUGUACGGCGAACAGAAAUGUCCUACGUUCACUUCGAGGAAAACAUUUUUGUAUUUCCUGCUUCCUUGUCUUCUUCUUCAUUUUAUUUAUUCAAAUUUUCUUAAUCAUAUUUGCGGAUAAUCUUCAUGAAUAUGUGAUAGCUAAUAUACGAUAGCAUUGUAAAUUAUUAUUUAACGCUUAGUUCCAGGGAAUGUGAAACAUACAUUGAUAAAAUAUUGAAGUUAUAAUUUAACACAAAUAUAAUGUUAUUAUAAAUAUUAUUAUUCAAAU